GCCUGGCUGGCUCAUUUGGUAGAGCAUGUGACUCUUGAUCUUGGGGUUGUGAGUUUGAGCCCCAUGUUGGGUA
Molecule: transfer RNA, 73 nt
Filed under: Ailuropoda melanoleuca (giant panda)
Lineage: Eukaryota; Metazoa; Chordata; Mammalia; Carnivora; Ursidae
Rfam family: tRNA
About the family: Transfer RNA (tRNA) molecules are approximately 80 nucleotides in length.
Source: Rfam by way of RNAcentral